CACGUAGGGCGCAAGCGUUGUCCGGAAUUAUUGGGCGUAAAGCGCACGUAGGCGGUUUGUUAAGUCGGAUGUGAAAUCCCUCGGCUCAACUGAGGAAGUGCAUCCGAAACUGGCAAGCUUGAGUACGAAAGAGGGUCGCGGAAUUCCCGGUGUAGAGGUGAAAUUCGUAGAUAUCGGGAGGAACACCGGUGGCGAAGGCGGCGACCUGGGUCGAUACUGACGCUGAGGUGCGAAAGCGUGGGGAGCAAACAGG
This 253-nucleotide ribosomal RNA is filed under the name uncultured bacterium. RNAcentral's name for it is "partial 16S ribosomal RNA". It matches the Rfam family "Bacterial small subunit ribosomal RNA", at positions 524 to 776 of the family's 1533-position model. The record is from RNAcentral.